GAUGAACGCUGGCGGCGUGCUUAACACAUGCAAGUCGAACGGGAAGACUUUGUUUUUGUGGGGUACUGGCGGGGCGAACGGGUGAGUAACACGUUAGUAACCUACCCAUGACUUUAGGAGAUCUUCAGGAAACUGCGGCCAAAAGCGGAUAGGUGAUCCUCCUGCAUGGCGGGGGCUGGCAACUGUCGGCUGUGGGGGAUGGGCUCGCGGCUUAUCAGCUUGUGGGUGGGGGAGUGGCUUACCAAUGAUUUGGCGGGUAGCCGGCCUGCGAGGGUGACCGGCCACAUAGGGACUGCGAUCCGGCCCAGAAUCCUACGGGAGGCAGCAGCGGUGAAUAUUGCACCAUGGGCGGCAGCCUGAUGCCGGAACGCUGCGGGCGGGAUGACGGCCUUCGGGGUGUAAACCGCUUUCGCCCGUGGAGAAGAGUGAGUGACGGUAUCGGGUACAGAAGCCCCGGCUAACUCCGUG
This 468-nucleotide ribosomal RNA is filed under the name uncultured bacterium. Its description in RNAcentral is "partial 16S ribosomal RNA". It matches the Rfam family "Bacterial small subunit ribosomal RNA", at positions 28 to 507 of the family's 1533-position model. The record is from RNAcentral.